Molecule: ribosomal RNA, 743 nt
Filed under: uncultured bacterium
Lineage: Bacteria
Description: bacterial SSU rRNA
Rfam family: Bacterial small subunit ribosomal RNA
Source: RNAcentral
CAGGAUGUGAAAUCCCCGGGCUCAACCUGGGAACUGCGUUNUGAACUGGGUGACUAGAGUGUNUCAGAGGGAGGUAGAAUUCCUCGUGUAGCAGUGAAAUGCGUAGAGAUGUGGAGGAAUACCGAUGGCGAAGGCAGCCUCCUGGGAUAACACUGACGUUCAUGCCCGAAAGCGUGGGUAGCAAACAGGAUUAGAUACCCUGGUAGUCCACGCCCUAAACGAUGUCGAUUAGCUGUUGGGCAGCAUGACAGCUUAGUAGCGAAGCUAACGCGUGAAAUCGACCGCCUGGGGAGUACGGUCGCAAGAUUAAAACUCAAAGGAAUUGACGGGGACCCGCACAAGCGGUGGAUGAUGUGGAUUAAUUCGAUGCAACGCGAAGAACCUUACCUGGUCUUGACAUGUACGGAACCCUUCAGAGACGGAGGGGUGCCUUCGGGAGCCGUAACACAGGUGCUGCAUGGCUGUCGUCAGCUCGUGUCGUGAGAUGUUGGGUUAAGUCCCGCAACGAGCGCAACCCUUGUCAUUAGUUGCCAUCAUUAAGUUGGGCACUCUAAUGAGACUGCCGGUGACAAGCCGGAGGAAGGUGGGGAUGACGUCAAGUCCUCAUGGCCCUUAUGACCAGGGCUUCACACGUCAUACAAUGGUCGGUACAGAGGGUAGCCAAGCCGCGAGGCGGAGCCAAUCUCACAAAACCGAUCGUAGUCCGGAUUGCACUCUGCAACUCGAGUGCAUGAAGUCGGAAU